This 739-nucleotide long non-coding RNA is filed under the name Capsella rubella. Its description in RNAcentral is "long non-coding RNA (CRUB_LNC004519)". Lineage: Eukaryota; Viridiplantae; Streptophyta; Magnoliopsida; Brassicales; Brassicaceae. The record is from RNAcentral.
UGACCUCAAACCUAUAUCCAUUAUCUGGAAUCGUACCUUGAUUAAGCUUUAUCUAUAUAUAUAUGGAUGGAAUCGUUAUGUGGCGAUCAAAAUGGACUUCUCAUGCCUUACAUUACAUCAUAUCUUAUGUAAUAUUCCUUUCACACAUCUCAUUAUACAAUGGAUACUAAAUACUUAAAUUAAGUAAAAGAUUAAGUUUCGACUGAUUGAAUAUUUAGAAGUUAAUUGUAAUCAUCUCUGUCUACAGACUGACUUUAAAAUAUUAUCGUAGAAAAGUAGGGGCUGCUAAUAGUAGUAGCUAGGGGGGUUUUGUUUUUCUUCCUAUGUAUAAAGAGACAAAAUGAAGUAUUGAGGUUGGUUCUUAUAACACUCAUCAAACAAUUUGGUCACAAACCAUCAAUAAUGAUAUAAAUCCUGCAAAAAAAUAAAAUACAACGCAAUAACUUGAAGUCUUUAUAAUUAGAACAUUAAAUUCAUGUUUGGGAAUGGAUGUCUAUUCAUCAUGUCCAGAAAAUAAAAGACUGGCCGACCACACAAAAAAAAAAAAAAAGAAAAAAAAAGUUUUGGGGGCAGUCGGUGAUGGAAUGAGUAGACGUAAGGGGUGAUGAAGUCAUGAAAAAAGAAUUAAUACAUACAGACAAGUUGUUGUUGGACAAACGCCUAAGACAGAAGAAGACGAGAGAAGGCCAAAGUGUAGAAAGAAUUUUAUUUUUUUAAUUAGUAAGAAGGGCAAUUAGCA